RNAcentral lists this ribosomal RNA (301 nucleotides) under uncultured bacterium. Its description in RNAcentral is "partial 16S ribosomal RNA". It matches the Rfam family "Bacterial small subunit ribosomal RNA", at positions 509 to 807 of the family's 1533-position model. The record is from RNAcentral.
CAGCAGCCACGGGAAUACGAAGGGGGCUAGCGUUGUUCGGAUUUACUGGGCGUAAAGCGCACGUAGGCGGACUUUUAAGUCAGGGGUGAAAUCCCGGGGCUCAACCCCGGAACUGCCUUUGAUACUGGAAGUCUUGAGUAUGGUAGAGGUGAGUGGAAUUCCGAGUGUAGAGGUGAAAUUCGUAGAUAUUCGGAGGAACACCGGUGGCGAAGGCGGCUCACUGGACCAUUACUGACGCUGAGGUGCGAAAGCGUGGGGAGCAAACAGGAUUAGAUACCCGGGUAGUCCCUGUCUCUUAUAC